This 490-nucleotide ribosomal RNA is filed under the name uncultured bacterium. Its description in RNAcentral is "partial 16S ribosomal RNA". It matches the Rfam family "Bacterial small subunit ribosomal RNA", at positions 29 to 505 of the family's 1533-position model. The record is from RNAcentral.
AGUGAACGCUGGCGGUAGGCCUAACACAUGCAAGUCGAACGGCAGCACAGUAAGAGCUUGCUCUUACGGGUGGCGAGUGGCGGACGGGUGAGGAAUACAUCGGAAUCUACUUUCUCGUGGGGGAUAACGUAGGGAAACUUACGCUAAUACCGCAUACGACCUACGGGUGAAAGCAGGGGAUCUUCGGACCUUGCGCGAUUGAAUGAGCCGAUGUCGGAUUAGCUAGUUGGCGGGGUAAAGGCCCACCAAGGCGACGAUCCGUAGCUGGUCUGAGAGGAUGAUCAGCCACAGUGAAACUGAGACACGGUCCAGACUUCUACGAGGGGCAGCAGUGGAGAAUAGUGGACAAGGGGCGCAAGCCUGAUCCAGCCAUACCGCGUGGGUGAAGAAGGCCUUCGGGUUGUAAAGCCCUUUUGUUGGGAAAGAAAAGCAGCAGGUUAAUACCCCGCUGUUCUGGCGGUACCCAAAGAAUAAGCACCGGCUAACUUCG